AAGGGUGACGAAGCGACGCCGCGUGUGGGAAGAAGGCCUUCGGGUUGUAAACCACUGUCGGGAGUUAGGAAAUGCAGGUGCGUUAAUAGCGCACUUGCUUGACUAAGGCUCCAGAGGAAGCCACGGCUAACUCUGUGCCAGCAGCCGCGGUAAUACAGAGGCGGCAAGCGUUGUUCGGAAUUAUUGGGCGUAAAGAGCACGUAGGCGGCCUUGCAAGUCAGUUGUGAAAGCCUUCCGCUUAACGGAAGAACGGCAUCUGAUACUACAGGGCUUGAGUACGGGAGGGGAGAGUGGAACUUCUGGUGGAGCGGUGAAAUGCGUAGAUAUCAGAAGGAACGCCGGCGGCGAAAGCGACUCUCUGGUCCGAAACUGACGCUGAGUGUGCGAAAGCUAGGGGAGCAAACGGGAUUAGAUACCCCGGUAGUCCUAGCUGUAAACGAUGGGCACUAAGUAGAGGGAAUU
This 462-nucleotide ribosomal RNA is filed under the name uncultured Planctomycetota bacterium. RNAcentral describes it as "bacterial SSU rRNA". It matches the Rfam family "Bacterial small subunit ribosomal RNA", at positions 379 to 831 of the family's 1533-position model. Lineage: Bacteria; Pseudomonadati; Planctomycetota. The record is from RNAcentral.